Molecule: ribosomal RNA, 465 nt
Filed under: uncultured bacterium
Lineage: Bacteria
Description: partial 16S ribosomal RNA
Rfam family: Bacterial small subunit ribosomal RNA
Source: RNAcentral
GAUGAACGCUGGCGGCGUGCUUAACACAUGCAAGUCGAACGGAAAGGCUCCUGCUUGCAGGGGUACUCGAGUGGCGAACGGGUGAGUAACACGUGGGUGAUCUGCCCUGCACUUCGGGAUAAGCCUGGAAAACUGGGUCUAAUACCGGAUAGGACCACAUUUUGGAUGGUGUGGUGGAAAGUUUUUCGGUGUGGGAUGAGCUCGCGGCCUAUCAGCUUGUUGGUGGGGUAAUGGCCUACCAAGGCGUCGACGGGUAGCCGGCCUGAGAGGGUGUACGGCCACAUUGGGACUGAGAUACGGCCCAGACUCCUACGGGAGGCAGCAGUGGGGAAUAUUGCACAAUGGGCGCAAGCCUGAUGCAGCGACGCCGCGUGGGGGAUGACGGCCUUCGGGUUGUAAACUCCUUUCGCUAGGGACGAAGCGCAAGUGACGGUACCUGGAGAAGAAGCACCGGCUAACUACGUG